CUGGGCGGCGUGGCUAUACAUGCAAGUCGAGCGAACUGAUUAGAAGCUUGCUUCUAUGACGUUAGCGGCGGACGGGUGAGUAACACGUGGGCAACCUGCCUGUAAGACUGGGAUAACUUCGGGAAACCGAAGCUAAUACCGGAUAGGAUCUUCUCCUUCAUGGGAGAUGAUUGAAAGAUGGUUUCGGCUAUCACUUACAGAUGGGCCCGCGGUGCAUUAGCUAGUUGGUGAGGUAACGGCUCACCAAGGCAACGAUGCAUAGCCGACCUGAGAGGGUGAUCGGCCACACUGGGACUGAGACACGGCCCAGACUCCUACGGGAGGCAGCAGUAGGGAAUCUUCCGCAAUGGACGAAAGUCUGACGGAGCAACGCCGCGUGAGUGAUGAAGGCUUUCGGGUCGUAAAACUCUGUUGUUAGGGAAGAACAAGUACGAGAGUAACUGCUCGUACCUUGACGGUACCUAACCAGAAAGCCACGGCUAACUACGUGCCAGCAGCCGCGGUAAUACGUAGGUGGCAAGCGUUAUCCGGAAUUAUUGGGCGUAAAGCGCGCGCAGGCGGUUUCUUAAGUCUGAUGUGAAAGCCCACGGCUCAACCGUGGAGGGUCAUUGGAAACUGGGGAACUUGAGUGCAGAAGAGAAAAGCGGAAUUCCACGUGUAGCGGUGAAAUGCGUAGAGAUGUGGAGGAACACCAGUGGCGAAGGCGGCUUUUUGGUCUGUAACUGACGCUGAGGCGCGAAGCGUGGGGAGCAAACAGGAUUAGAUACCCUGGUAGUCCACGCCGUAAACGAUGAGUGCUAAGUGUUAGAGGGUUUCCGCCCUUUAGUGCUGCAGCUAACGCAUUAAGCACUCCGCCUGGGGAGUACGGUCGCAAGACUGAAACUCAAAGGAAUUGACGGGGGCCCGCACAAGCGGUGGGAGCAUGUGGUUUAAUUCGAAAGCAACGCGAAGAACCUUACCCAGGUCUUGACAUCCUCUGACACUCUAGAGAUAGAGCGUUUCCCCCUUCGGGACAGAGUGACAGGUGGUGCAUGCUGUCGUCAGCUCGUGUCGUGAGAUGUUGGGGUUAAGUUUG
This 1075-nucleotide ribosomal RNA is filed under the name Priestia aryabhattai. RNAcentral's name for it is "bacterial SSU rRNA". It matches the Rfam family "Bacterial small subunit ribosomal RNA", at positions 36 to 1088 of the family's 1533-position model. The record is from RNAcentral. Lineage: Bacteria; Bacillati; Bacillota; Bacilli; Caryophanales; Bacillaceae.